AUUGAACGCUGGCGGCAGGCCUAACACAUGCAAGUCGAACGGUAACAGAAAGCAGCUUGCUGCUUUGCUGACGAGUGGCGGACGGGUGAGUAAUGUCUGGGAAACUGCCUGAUGGAGGGGGAUAACUACUGGAAACGGUAGCUAAUACCGCAUAACGUCGCAAGACCAAAGAGGGGGACCUUCGGGCCUCUUGCCAUCGGCUGUGCCCAGAUGGGAUUAGCUAGUAGGUGGGGUAACGGCGCACCUAGGCGACGAUCCCUAGCUGGUCUGAGAGGAUGACCAGCCACACUGGAACUGAGACACGGUCCAGACUCCUACGGGAGGCAGCAGUGGGGAAUAUUGCACAAUGGGCGCAAGCCUGAUGCAGCCAUGCCGCGUGUAUGAAGAAGGCCUUCGGGUUGUAAAGUACUUUCAGCGGGGAGGAAGGGAGUAAAGUUAAUACCUUUGCUCAUUGACGUUACCCGCAGAAGAAGCACCGGCUAACUCCGUG
Molecule: ribosomal RNA, 490 nt
Filed under: uncultured bacterium
Lineage: Bacteria
Description: partial 16S ribosomal RNA
Rfam family: Bacterial small subunit ribosomal RNA
Source: RNAcentral